Molecule: RNA transcript, 1774 nt
Organism: Trachymyrmex cornetzi
Lineage: Eukaryota; Metazoa; Arthropoda; Insecta; Hymenoptera; Formicidae
Exons: 2
Source: RefSeq, a predicted model, not a curated record
UUUUCACUAGCGACCUUCUUCAGGUCAAAACGUUUGAAGUUGUAACGUCUGUAGUCAGUUGAUGUCUGUAUCACAUCGUCUUUGCGUCUUCCAAUAUUCAAUUCGUUCAAACAAUGAAGCGUUAAUUGUUAGGAAAGGUUCGCGGGAAAUAGAAGGACGCAGUCGACCGAAAAAGAAAAAACUACUGAAUCGUUAUAUGAUCGAGCGCGAAAUGGCACGUACUAGUAGUGCCUCCUCGAAAAAGUUAAAAAUAAGUUUAGUGGAUGUGCCAAUAGACGCAGAUCAUGGAUACCGCAUAAUAAACUCUUCAACAUUAUUUUCAACUCUCAGUGACAUGAUAAAAUGCAAAUCAUGCAACGGAAAUAUUUCAUUCAGAGAAGCAACCAUUCGCGGACUUGGAUUCAAAUUAGUCAUCACAUGUGAUAAAUGUGAACCGCGAUAUAUAAAUUGUUGUCCGCUUAUCGAUCACGCGUAUGAAAUAAAUAGACGAUUUGUUUUUGCAAUGAGACUUCUUGGUGUUGGUUACGAAGGCGCGAAAAAAUUUUGCGGUAUCAUGGAUUUUCCAAACAUUUUCAGAAAGGAGGUAUAUUACGAAAUUCUGACAAAUAUUUAUUGCGCGACGAAGACUGUAGCUGAUACAACAUUUUCCGAGGCAGCCGUUGAAGAGAAACAAUUGACGACAAAUGCAGAAAGAACAGAGCCGGCAGGUCUUACAGUUUCAGGAAAUGGAACCUGGAUGAAACGAGGUUUUUCAUCUUUACAUGGAGUUGUAACGUUAAUUGGUCAUUACUCUGGACAAAUAAUAGAUGUAAAUAUCAAGUCGUUGUACUGCGAACAGUGCGACCAUUCGAGCCAAAAUUUGGAUAUAGAAGAAUAUGAAACAUGGAAAGAAUCACAUAAAAAUGAGUGUUCCAUCGACCAUGAAGGAAGCACGGGAAAAAUGGAAGUGGACGGAGCGAUAGAAAUGUUCGCGAGAUCUAAAGACUUACAUGGCGUGAAAUAUUUAUCUUACACUGAUCACGGCGAUGAUAAAACGUUCAAAGGCAUUGUUGAAUCGCAACCUUAUGGUGAAGAUGUUAGAAUUACAAAAAAAGAAUGUUUUACACAAAAUAUAAAUAACGAGAGCAUUAAUUCGCUUAUUUGGUCGAUUGCGCCUAAACAAAUAUUUAGUGGCAAGAAAAUUCUUAAAAUUGCCACGUAUAUUGCGGCAAAUAUUUUCAAUAAAGGCUAUAAAAGUAUUCUUUUAAUGAUGGCUAUGCUAAAUCUGACAAUUGGAACAAAUGCGGCUGUAAUAUGUGAACAACUUGACACGACACGAGUGUCCCAAAGCGAGGCGAAGAUGGUUGCGGCAUCUAAAGGUCGAAUUAAACGACAGAGGGAUAAAGUAGCCUCGGAUGAGCAGGAAGAUUCUUUCGAUGAAGCAGAAAUGGACGAUUAGCGAUAAGAUGCAAAAAACUGUACGAUAUUAAGUCAAACUUUAAACGUGUUUAUUUCGAAACCAUGUUUUUUGAAACGGAUAACCAAAAUGACGGAAUCAUGUACGUACACCGUUUACCGAUGCACAAUCACGUUUUACGCGGAUUGAUACAUUUCCUCGGAAGAUAUUUCUUAAUAAAAUUUGCGACAUAACAAGUUCAAUAUAUGUAUUAAUAAAGUGCCAAAUUAGAAGUGGAUCGUAUUUAUACUUUUCCCGCAAUCCAUGUUAAAAAAAUCUUUAUUUUUUCAGGUUGGUCAAAAUGUAUUUCCCCCUUAAUUCGUAAUUUUUUGUUAUAUA